Non-coding RNA from Camellia sinensis, 4251 nucleotides. NCBI's taxonomy places the organism in Eukaryota, Viridiplantae, Streptophyta, Magnoliopsida, Ericales, Theaceae. The record is from RefSeq and is a predicted model, not a curated record.
AAUGGGUUGUAGUGGGCGAAAGGGGUUGUUGGGAAGGAAGAAGGGACUGGGGAAGGGUCGACGGAGGGCUAGGGGGAGGGUCGCCAGACGUGGGAGUGCGGGCUGCCGAAGUAAGGUUGCAGAGGUGGGGGUCCAAAGGGUAGGAUUAUGGUGGGUGUUCAAAGAAAAAAGGGAGGGGAGCACUUUGGUGUGUGUCGGUCUAAAGAAAUGGAGGGUCCAAGUAAUUAGAUGAGAAAUACACUUGAGUGGACACAUUUCGUCUAAGCUUGUAGUACUUUUCAAUCCAGCAAGGGUAAUGGCAGAGUCUGUUGUCGCCUUCGCCAUCAAAGGACUUGGUGUUUUAGCGAUUCAAAAUGCACAAUUCUUGUAUGGCAUGAGUGACCAAGUGGAACAAGUUCAAGCACACUUAGGCAGAUGCAAUGCUUCUUGAAAGAUGCAGAUGCAACACAAGACGAACAUGAGACGAUCCACAAUUUGGUUGCAGAAAUUAGAGAAGUUGCUUAUAAUGCGGAGGCUGUUGUUGAAACUUUUGUUUUUGAAGUGGCAUCGAGGAAAGGAGGUUUUUGAAAGAUUCUCAUCAGAUCUGUUAACAUCUUGAGUGAAGUUUUAGCCUGCUACAGGAUUCGGUCUGAGAUUGAAACUAUUAAAAAAUAUAUCAAUAUUCUCAUCUCAAGCUUACAAAGUUACAGUUUAAUUGCUGUAAUGGAAAGAGAAGGUACAAGUUCUACAUAUCAAAGGAAACUUCAAUAUCGGUGAUCUUAUUCCCAUGUUAUUGAAGAGGAUUUUGUUGGUUUUCAAGAAGACAUGAAGACAUUAAUCAAACAUUUGGUGAAUGAAAGAAAACAAAAUUGUCAGGUUGUUGCUAAGAAGAUAUACCAUCACCAAAGUAUAGGAGCCACUUUGAUCGAUUUGCUUGGGUUUGUAUAUCUCAACAAUGGCAAAGAAAAGAUAUUUUGGAAGGGAUUUUUACCAAACUUGUACCAGAGUGGAAAAAUCAAAUUGUGAACAUGAGAGAUGAAGAGCUUGUCAAGCAACUUUACCGAGUCCAACAAGAGAAAAAAUGCCUAGUGGUUAUUGAUGACAUUUGGUCAUCAUGUGCUUGGGAUAGUCUAAGAGCUGCCUUCCCACCGGAAGUAUGGGCAGCAAAAUAUUGAUUACAACUCGUAAUAAAGAAGUAGCUAUGCACAUAGAUCCGACUUGUUUCCUCCAUGAACCAAAGUGCUUAAAUGAAGAAGAGAGUUGGGAGCUAUUUCAGAAAAAGGUCUUCUCAAGAAGAGAGGUGCAGACUUCAAAGUUGACACCAGGAUGGAGAUGUUAGUGAGGGAAAUGGUUGAACGGUGUGGGGGUUUACCGCUAGCCAUUGUUGUGUUAGGAGGAAUCUUAGUGACAAAAUAUACUUGGAGUGAGUGGGAGAUAAUUCAUCAAAAUUUAAAUUCGUUUCUAAGGAGGGGCAAAAGCGUUGGACAGCAACAUGGAGGAGUAAUGGAGGUGUUGGCUCUUAGUUAUCAUGACUUGCCAUAUCAGUUGAAGGCAUGUUUUCUUUGUUUGGGAAAUUAUCCAGAAGAUGUUGAGAUAGAAGCAGAGAAAUUAUACCAACUGUGGAUGGCCGAAGGUAUCAUAUUACCAUCACCAUUGGAGGAUAAGGAAAAAGGGGAAGAAGAAGCAAUGAUGGAUGUGGCAGAAUGUUAUUUGGAUGAAUUGGCACAGAGAUGCAUACUUCAGGUGCAGCUAGAGGAGUACCCAAUCAGGUACCAAGGAAGGUUUAAAUCAUGCAAGCUUCAUGACCUUAUGCGAGACGUAUGUUUGUUAAAGAUAGAAGAGGAAAAUUUUCUUAAGGUCAUUUAUUUGAAGAGGCAUAAAAAUGAGCAACAACAACUACUGGAAAAUUCCUAUCCUUCUUCUUCAUUAUCAUCAUAUAGGUGUAGUCAAAUACACAGAUUUGCAAUUGCCUUUGAUGAGAAUGUUGAUGGAGACCUUUCGCUCCUCAAACAAAAACAAGUUCAGCACAUUCGGUCAGCUGUAUUUUUCUAUGGAGGCAGGUGCAGUCAUCGACUCUGGGAACAAAUCAAACCCUGUAUUUUCAACCAUCUCAAAUUGCUGAAAGUUUUAGAUCUUGAAGCAAUUGGACAUCGCUUUUUUAGUGUGAGUGAUCUAAAGUUACCAAAAGCAAUAGGAAAUUUAAUCCACUUGAGGUACUUGGGUUUAAGAUAUUCAUGGUUCAACCAGUUGCCAUCAUCAAUAGGCAAGUUGAGGUAUUUGCAAACCCUUGAUUUACGGACACUAUCACAUCCAUUGAUACCAAAUGUGCUAUGGAAAUUGAAACUACUGCAAUAUCUUUAUCUUCCUCAAUCCUUACAUAUAGAAAAUGGUGACAUAUUACGAUUGGAUGGGUUGGACAACCUAGAGAUGCUAGAAAACUUCCAUACAUAUUAUUGUGAUAUCAAGGAUCUCUUCAAAUUAACCAAUCUUUGACAGCUAAGGGAAGCAAAAAUGUGGGGGAGACGUGAGGAUAUGAUCAACUACCUGUUCAGCAUCAGUAACCCAAAUCAACAACUCUUCCAUCACUCUUCACUUUCUAUUUGCGACUCUAAUGUUUUCUCCGAGGAGUCUAAUCUUCUAACACAAUUAUUGGGGUGUCAUCAUCUUCAUAAAUUGGAAAUACAAGGGCCUAUACAAGUGUUAGCACCACCAGUUGACCAUCAGAUGAAUAUCUCUUUGUAUUCAAGCAGCAGCCUCACCCAUUUAUGGUUGGAGGGAUCUCUACUUAAGGAAGACCCUACGUCCACACUGGAGAAGUUGCCUAACUUAAGGGGCCUCUACUUAGAUGAAGCCUUUGUGGGGAAAGAAAUAGUUUGUUCUGCAAUGGGAUUCCCUCAACUAAAACAUCUAAAACUCAAAGGUUUGCACAACUUAGUGAGGUGGAGGGUGGCUGAAAGGGCCAUGCCCAAUCUUUUGACUUUAGAAAUUCAAAGUUGCAAGAAGUUGAAGAUGCUGCCAGAUGAAUUGAGAUCCGUCCUUCCCCACGUGCAGGUGUUGAUUGAAGAGAUGCCUGAGGAAUGCCAUUACUUCCGGCCAACCAGUCCCCCCACCUCCUCAUCCGUUCCUCAUUCCCCUUCUCCUCCCCCUCCCCUUUUCCCUCCCCCAACCCCUUUCCCUCCCCUUUUCCGUUCCGGUUCGCUUUCCUGUCCCGCUUCCCUUCCCCUUCUUCCUCGUUGCUCUCUGCAAUGUGAUUUAUUCUUUCCAGAGAUAUGAGGGACUAAACUGUUUAGUAGAGAAUCAGUUGUCAGUGGUUCUGUUAAAAGGACCCCAGAGAACCGUAUGCUGGGUCAUCAUAUAAUCAUGGACUCAAAGGUUGGCCUAUAUGUAAGGCUGACACAUGAGGAGGUUCAUGAUGCCGCUCUUCAAAUUUGUUCUGGAUGGUAAAUCUUGGAGAACGGUGCAGUAUAUAUGGAUCCAAUUUCCCAGAAUGGAUCAUUUCAAUGGAGGUGGUUGUUUUGAGCAUUUGUAAGCUCGAAAUGUAGGGUACGUGACUAAAGUUAAUUUAAACUUCAACCACCACCGGCCAUUAGUUUGUUCUGCUGGUGUCACUGAUGCAAAUUCUGUGGAGUUCAUCAUCAACCAUCCUGAAGUUUCGAUACCUUUUGUUCAAGAGAAUAAGAUAGAUUCUGGCUAUGCCAACAUGCCUUCGAAGGUGUACUUCACAUCUAAAAACUAUUGCCAGCUUUGGGAGAUUUCUAGCAUGCAAAAGAAGGAAGCUGAAGACCUUGGUGUGUCUUGCUUCUCUAGGAAAGAAUUUGCUCUAUUGGGAAGUUUGGAUCGCAAAUUUCCUCAAUCUGACAUCUGCAUGAUGAUGAUGUAUGCAAGUGGAACGACAGAAGAACGUAAAGGUGUUGUUUUAACGAAUGGGAUGAUCAUGGCAGAAGCUUGUCUACAGAUCAACUGCUAUUUGAAACAAAGAAAGUGGUAAUGAUUAAAUUUCAUCUCUUUCAUGUUUCAAAAGUAACUGAUUUUGAACCUUGCUCUGAAAUUUGAACCUAAGAAGAAAUCUUUCUGCUUCCCUUUAUAAGAAGUAACUUUGAGCAUUGAUUGUUGGUGUGUGUAUGGUUUUGAUCAUUAUCAUUAUCAUCUCUAGAUUUUCAUUCCCAGUAUAUCAGAUGUAACAACCAAUGUUAACAAAUAUGUAUGAAAUUUGCACAAGUAUGCAAGAUAGUUUUGUGUCCAUAUUAAAUGUGUAGCAUACUCAUUGGUCAU